UUGAAAGGGAAACGAUUGAAGUCAGUCGUACUGAUGGGAAAUCAACUUCUCGAGUGCUUGUCGUGGAUGACGUUGAGCUUCACGGCCUUCGUUGCUUACGUUAUGGUGCUUUUGAGGUGUACUUUCCGUAUGGUAGGUCAACAUCGAUUUUGAUCGUCAUAAAAUGAUCGGAGGAAUGUGGCUCUGAUCUUGUAUCGGAGUGUUAUAGCCUUUGAUAGAUGUGACGAUUGGGAUCGAGGAUUGCAACGAAUACCCUUUUGGGCUAUCCGUCUGACCUCUGAAAGUCGCUCGGGUGUCGAAAGCGUGCUUAUGAUAUUUUAGUUGGCGGUCAAAAGGUUAGAACGUGAUUACAUUCGUUAAGGAUGUUGACGUA
Molecule: ribosomal RNA, 373 nt
Filed under: uncultured Glomeromycotina
Lineage: Eukaryota; Fungi; Glomeromycota
Description: LSU rRNA
Source: RNAcentral